Long non-coding RNA from Pogoniulus pusillus (Red-fronted tinkerbird), 1154 nucleotides. RefSeq lists it as uncharacterized. The record is from RefSeq and is a predicted model, not a curated record. Lineage: Eukaryota; Metazoa; Chordata; Aves; Piciformes; Lybiidae. The transcript has 2 exons.
CAGGGUUGGUGGUGGCCCUUGGCCCUGAUGGAUCCUCACAACACUGAUUGAUGCUUACAUCCCAAUCCUGUGUUGCUCCAAAGUCGAGACAUCUUGAGCAAGGUGUCCUUUAACUCUUGCUGAGCGUUGAGAAGAUUCCCCUCUCAGGCCACCCCAGCACUCUCAAAUGGAACUUUUUUCUUUUCAAGUAACCUCUCCAGGAUGCAAAAAGGAAAGAUAUGCAACAUCACACCCACACGGAGGAGUGUCCUCUCCACCGGCACUAUCUCCUCUCUGGCCCGAUGACAGAAGGGUUGUUGGUUCAGCAUCUUGUGGAUAAGACAGCUACGGUGGAAGCAGCUGAGCAACCACAUCCGUGAGGAAAACAAGAGAGCUUCACGCAUAUCUAGAGGGAACAUCUGGGCUAUUGUCAGCAACUUACAAGCAUUUACCUAAUUGCAGUUUUGAAUGAAAUUGUCCAUCAUAAAAGAUGCCUCAAGACUGUUGAUGUUGGGCGUCCCUCCGCAGCCGCCGCGGCGUACGCCCGCAUCAUUUGUCUUAAUUUUAUUUCAGCGUAGCUAACUGGAGACCCCACUUCAGAAAUAUUCCGAGUUUAGUUUUAAUUGUAGGGCUUUCAACUCACGCAACAUUUCUCUUUUGUGUUGAAAGCAUCACGGUGAUUUAUCCUCAUUAUUGUGUAAAUAGGUUUCGGCAGUUCUCAGUAAAUAAAACAAAGAGUGACAGGAGGAGAAGGGGGAAUUUGCUUUCCUACCAAUUAGAGUAGCCUUAGGCAGUACUUUUAAGAGGAGAUAAAUCCUGCAAAUCACUAAAAUGAUCCUGUCACAUGCACCAAAUAUUAAAAUCACACAGCGGCGCACUUCAUACAGUUUGCUUUGGUUUAAUGAGUUGGGGUGGGCUUCGUCAUGAGGUUUGCAUCUCGCAGUUGGGGACUGUUGAUUGACAGUGAAGAUCAUGCCCAACUGCAGCUUCCUAACCAGUAGGGCCAGAUGGAAAAUCACAAUUCAUGUUUAAUAUGCAGGUUUUCAGCUAAAGAAAAUUCCCAAUUUGUCUCCUCACCUCCUACCUGAAAAUUUUCCCCAUAAUAAAUGCAAAAUAUGCUCCACAUUAGCCAAGAAUGGGGUUUUUACACACACCCCACACUCCCCUUCCAGCAA